GUUUACCAAAAACAUGGCUUCAUGAAAUUUAAAAAUUAUACAACAUAUAACAUACAUAUAUGAAGUCGGGCCUGCCCAGUGAAUUUAUUUAACGGCCGCGGUACCCUGACCGUGCAAAGGUAGCGCAAUACUUGCCUUAUAAUUGAAGGCUGGAAUGAAUGGUUUGACAAGAAUGUAGCUGUCUCUUUAUAAUUUAAUAGAAUUUUAUCUUAGGAUGAAAAAGUCCUAGUUGAAUUAAAAGACAAGAAGACCCUAUCGAGCUUAAAAUUAAUUAGUAAAAAAUUAAUACUUACAAAAUUGUUAUUAAAAAUUUUGGUUGGGGCAACUAAGGAGCAAAAAAAGCCUCUUUUUAUAAAAUAUACGCAACUAGUAAGGAUCCAAUAAUUUUGAUCAAAGAAAAUAGUUACCGUAGGGAUAACAGCAUUAUCUUUUUUGAGAGCUCUUAUCGAAAAAAAGGUUUGUGACCUCGAUGUUGGACCAGAAUAUCCUAAAGAUGCAGGAGUCUUUAAAGGUUGGUCUGUUCGACCAUUAAAAUUCUACGUGAUCUGAGUUCAGACCGG
Molecule: ribosomal RNA, 560 nt
Filed under: Conasprella arcuata
Lineage: Eukaryota; Metazoa; Mollusca; Gastropoda; Neogastropoda; Conidae
Description: partial 16S ribosomal RNA
Rfam family: Bacterial large subunit ribosomal RNA
Source: RNAcentral